GGUGUUGGUCCCAUUUUGUGAAUUCCUGGUUGGUGAGCGGACCCCAGACCUCACAACCACAAAGGGCAAUGGGUUCUAUAACUGAUUCAAGUGUUUUUAGCCAGAUCCUAAUUGGGAUGUCAAAUUUUAUGUUCCUUUUGAUGGCGUAGAAGGCCCUUAUUGCCUUGUCUCUCAGAUCGAUCACAGCUUUGUGGAAGUUACCUGUGGCGCUGAUGUUUAGGCCGAGGUACCUAUACGUUUUUGUGUUCUCUAGAGCAACGGUGUCUAGAUGGAAUUUGUAUUUGUGGUCCUGGCAACUGGACCAUUAUUUUUGUCUUGCUGAGAUUUACCGUCACGGCCCAGGUCUGUCAGGGCCCAGGUCUGUCACGGCCCAGGUCUGAGAGAAUAUGUGCAGAAGAUCUAGGUGUUGCUGUAGGCCCUCCUUGGUUGGGGACAGAUCUAGGUGCUGCUGUAGGCCCUCCUUGGUUUGGGGACAGAUCUAGGUGCUGCUGUAGGCCCUCCUUGGUUUGGGGACAGAUCUAGGUGCUGCUGUAGGCCCUCCUUGGUUGGGGACAGAUCUAGGUGUUGCUGUAGGCCCUCCUUGGUUGGGGACAGAUCUAGGUGCUGCUGUAGGCCCUCCUUGGUUUGGGGACAGAUCUAGGUGCUGCUGUAGGCCCUCCUUGGUUGGGGACAGAUCUAGGUGCUGCUGUAGGCCCUCCUUGGUUUGGGG
RNAcentral lists this long non-coding RNA (709 nucleotides) under Salmo salar (Atlantic salmon). RNAcentral describes it as "lncRNA (ENSSSAG00000101782.1)". Lineage: Eukaryota; Metazoa; Chordata; Actinopteri; Salmoniformes; Salmonidae. The record is from RNAcentral.